AGAGUUUGAUCCUGGCUCAGAUUGAACGCUGGCGGCAGGCCUAACACAUGCAAGUCGAGCGGUAGAGAGAAGCUUGCUUCUCUUGAGAGCGGCGGACGGGUGAGUAAUGCCUAGGAAUCUGCCUGGUAGUGGGGGAUAACGUUCGGAAACGGACGCUAAUACCGCAUACGUCCUACGGGAGAAAGCAGGGGACCUUCGGGCCUUGCGCUAUCAGAUGAGCCUAGGUCGGAUUAGCUAGUUGGUGAGGUAAUGGCUCACCAAGGCGACGAUCCGUAACUGGUCUGAGAGGAUGAUCAGUCACACUGGAACUGAGACACGGUCCAGACUCCUACGGGAGGCAGCAGUGGGGAAUAUUGGACAAUGGGCGAAAGCCUGAUCCAGCCAUGCCGCGUGUGUGAAGAAGGUCUUCGGAUUGUAAAGCACUUUAAGUUGGGAGGAAGGGUUGUAGAUUAAUACUCUGCAAUUUUGACGUUACCGACAGAAUAAGCACCGGCUAACUCUGUGCCAGCAGCCGCGGUAAUACAGAGGGUGCAAGCGUUAAUCGGAAUUACUGGGCGUAAAGCGCGCGUAGGUGGUUUGUUAAGUUGGAUGUGAAAUCCCCGGGCUCAACCUGGGAACUGCAUUCAAAACUGACUGACUAGAGUAUGGUAGAGGGUGGUGGAAUUUCCUGUGUAGCGGUGAAAUGCGUAGAUAUAGGAAGGAACACCAGUGGCGAAGGCGACCACCUGGACUAAUACUGACACUGAGGUGCGAAAGCGUGGGGAGCAAACAGGAUUAGAUACCCUGGUAGUCCACGCCGUAAACGAUGUCAACUAGCCGUUGGAAGCCUUGAGCUUUUAGUGGCGCAGCUAACGCAUUAAGUUGACCGCCUGGGGAGUACGGCCGCAAGGUUAAAACUCAAAUGAAUUGACGGGGGCCCGCACAAGCGGUGGAGCAUGUGGUUUAAUUCGAAGCAACGCGAAGAACCUUACCAGGCCUUGACAUCCAAUGAACUUUCUAGAGAUAGAUUGGUGCCUUCGGGAACAUUGAGACAGGUGCUGCAUGGCUGUCGUCAGCUCGUGUCGUGAGAUGUUGGGUUAAGUCCCGUAACGAGCGCAACCCUUGUCCUUAGUUACCAGCACGUAAUGGUGGGCACUCUAAGGAGACUGCCGGUGACAAACCGGAGGAAGGUGGGGAUGACGCCAAGUCAUCAUGGCCCUUACGGCCUGGGCUACACACGUGUUACAAUGGUCGGUACAGAGGGUUGCCAAGCCGCGAGGUGGAGCUAAUCCCAUAAAACCGAUCGUAGUCCGGAUCGCAGUCUGCAACUCGACUGCGUGAAGUCGGAAUCGCUAGUAAUCGCGAAUCAGAAUGUCGCGGUGAAUACGUUCCCGGGCCUUGUACACACCGCCCGUCACACCAUGGGAGUGGGUUGCACCAGAAGUAGCUAGUCUAACCUUCGGGAGGACGGUUACCACGGUGUGAUUCAUGACUGGGGUGAAGUCGUAACAAGGUAGCCGU
This 1500-nucleotide ribosomal RNA is filed under the name Pseudomonas sp. 33-36zhy. Its description in RNAcentral is "16S ribosomal RNA". It matches the Rfam family "Bacterial small subunit ribosomal RNA". The record is from RNAcentral. Lineage: Bacteria; Pseudomonadati; Pseudomonadota; Gammaproteobacteria; Pseudomonadales; Pseudomonadaceae.